This 161-nucleotide non-coding RNA is filed under the name pig gut metagenome. Its description in RNAcentral is "Lysine riboswitch". It matches the Rfam family "Lysine riboswitch aptamer". Rfam says of the family: Riboswitches are metabolite binding domains within certain messenger RNAs that serve as precision sensors for their corresponding targets. The record is from RNAcentral.
UUGAUAGAGGUGCGGUUUGCAUCAGUAGUGUGCGUUUUUCGGUUGACAGGUCGGCACACGAAAGGGAAAACCGCCGAAACAGGGAUUUUUCUGUCAAGGAAUUUCUGUUGGUUUGCAGUAGAACAUACUGCCGACUGUCACGUUUGUGGAGGGCUAUCGGU